Molecule: long non-coding RNA, 282 nt
Organism: Puntigrus tetrazona (Sumatra barb)
Lineage: Eukaryota; Metazoa; Chordata; Actinopteri; Cypriniformes; Cyprinidae
Exons: 3
Source: RefSeq, a predicted model, not a curated record
GGGCCGUCUACCUCCAACACAAGACCAGCCAAACGCUCCCGCAGAGAAGCGUACGCCAAGGGCCCGUUGCUGGGCCGAGGUGGAUUCGGCUCGGUGCAUGCUGGGAUACGCAGGUCCGACAGACUGCCAGUCGCCAUCAAGUACGUUUGCAAAAGCAGGGCGCCUGAGACGCUGAACGUGGUGAGUUGAAGGUGAAUCUGUUGUGAAUCUGCAUUCAGCUCUGGAUGUGACGGAUCUUUGGUCUCUGCAGGAAGGUCAGGGUCUGCUGCCGCUGGAGGUGGC